This 373-nucleotide ribosomal RNA is filed under the name uncultured organism. RNAcentral's name for it is "partial 16S ribosomal RNA". It matches the Rfam family "Bacterial small subunit ribosomal RNA", at positions 527 to 896 of the family's 1533-position model. The record is from RNAcentral.
GUAGGUGGCAAGCGUUGUCCGGAAUUAUGGGCGUAAAGCGCGCGCAGGCGGUUCUUUAAGUCUGAUGUGAAAGCCCACGGCUCAACCGUGGAGGGUCAUUGGAAACUGGAGAACUUGAGUACAGAAGAGGAAAGCGGAAUUCCACGUGUAGCGGUGAAAUGCGUAGAGAUGUGGAGGAACACCAGUGGCGAAGGCGGCUUUCUGGUCUGUAACUGACGCUGAGGCGCGAAAGCGUGGGGAGCAAACGGGGGGUUAGAUACCCUGGUAGUCCACGCCGUAAACGAUGAGUGCUAAGUGUUAGGGGGUUUCCCGCCCCUUAGUGCUGCGGCUAACGCAUUAAGCACUCCGCCUGGGGAGUACGGCCGCAAGGCUG